This 480-nucleotide ribosomal RNA is filed under the name uncultured bacterium. RNAcentral describes it as "partial 16S ribosomal RNA". It matches the Rfam family "Bacterial small subunit ribosomal RNA", at positions 28 to 507 of the family's 1533-position model. The record is from RNAcentral.
GACGAACGCUGGCGGCGCGCCUAACACAUGCAAGUCGAGCGAUGAAAUUUUAACCGAUCUCUUCGGAGAGAAGAUAAAAUGGAUUAGCGGCGGACGGGUGAGUAACACGUGAGAAACCUGCCUUUCACAAGGGGAUAGCCUCGGGAAACCGGGAUUAAUACCCUAUGACACAUUUCCUUCGCAUGGAAGAAAUGUUAAAACUCCGGUGGUGAAAGAUGGUCUCGCGCCUGAUUAGCUAGUUGGUGGGGUAACGGCCCACCAAGGCCAUGAUCAGUAACCGGCCUGAGAGGGUGAACCGUCACAUUGGAACUGAGACACGGUCCAAACUCCUACGGGAGGCAGCAGUGGGGAAUAUUGCACAAUGGAGGAAACUCUGAUGCAGCGACGCCGCGUGAGCGAUGAAGGCUUUCGAGUCGUAAAGCUCUGUCCUAUGGGAAGAUAAUGACGGUACCAUAGGAGGAAGCCCCGGCUAACUACGUG